Molecule: long non-coding RNA, 1793 nt
Filed under: Homo sapiens (human)
Lineage: Eukaryota; Metazoa; Chordata; Mammalia; Primates; Hominidae
Description: HSALNT0034805
Source: RNAcentral
UCCGCGGCUUCAUUCUUAAAGUCAGUGAGACCAAGAACCUACCAAUUCCGGACACAUAGGUACCAUUAAGAACAUUAAUGAUUCAUGAGAGAAGGUCAAAAUAUCAAAAUUAACAAGAAUUUGCAAGAUGUUAAUUUUAACUCUAAUAAAUGACAUUUACAGAUUCAAGACAUCAGUGGAAAAAUAAACUCCAUGUAAUGGGAAUAGCAAGAAAAAUAGCACUAGAAGUGGACCUUGAAGAUUUGACUGACCUGUGGAAAUCUCAUAGUAAAACCUGAAUGGAAGAAGAGUUGGUUCUUACAGGUGGAAAGUAGAUCCUGUAAGCUGAGGAGACUUUGAAGUAAAAUGUUGAAAGUUUUUAUCUUGCUGCCUACAUUAAAAUGCAAAGAGAAAAGAUCAAUUAAAGAAGGGAAUGCAAAUGAAACCAGCAAUUUAUAAUUUGGAAAAUUUUCAGCCUAUCCAGAUAGCAUAGUUUGGAAGCAGGAACAAAGCUGUUUCUGCACAACCAUCUGCUAAUGAAAUUAGGCUUGAGACUCUUGGACUCAAUCAUCUAAGCAAAAUCUGGGAAUAGACAUGUGAUUAUGGAAGAAAUAUUUGUAGAGGACCUUCUUGCCUAAUGGCAUAAACCCCUGUGGAUUUUGUGGGAGUCCUUAGGCUUUUGAAAAUGUAAUAUCAGCAGAAACAUUGCCAACCUGUACUGAACAGUACAGAGAGAAGUUAAAAUGGAGGAAGAAUGGCUCUGAGGAGGGAGCCUCUGAUGUCUAGGCUCAUAAGACCUAUUGGUUCCAGAAGGUGGGAUCAACUCUUGGUUCUGAAGUGUGAGGCUGCCAUUCAAGACCAAGUAAGAAGGCUACCUUGGAAGGCCCAGAAGACAGAGUAUUGAGCCAGAGAGAAUUAUACUCAAGUCUUAAAACCUAAGUGAGUUGCAAACUUGCAUCAGACUGAUGGAAAAAAUCUUUGCUUGAGAAGGAACCAUAUCCUGAGUCUUACCCAUAAAAGGAUUUUGAUGAGAUUUUGGACCUUAAGUUGAUAUUGGAAUAGUUAAGACUUUUGGAUCAGGUGAAUGUGGUUUGCAUACAGAAAGGCCAUGCUUUAUUUUUAUUUUUAUUUUUUGAUGGGGGAAGCAAAGGGAAGACUUUUAAAGGUUGAAUUGUGUCCCCAAAAGCUAUGUUGGAGUCUUAAUUCUCAGUAUCUCAGAAGGUGAAUUUACCUGGAAAUAGAUUGCAGCAGAUGAAAUUAAUUAAGUUAAUACAAGGUUAUACUAGAUUAGGAUGGGCUUCUAGUUCAAUAUGACUGAGAUUAUUAUAAGACAACAAAAUAAAUACAUGAAAAAACACAAAAAUGCAGGGAGAGUUCUAUAUAAUGGUGAAUUCAGAGAUUGAAAUUUUGCAGUUGCAAAGGAUGAAAAGUUAAAGAUUAUUGGUGGUACCAGAAGCUAAAACCAUGGAACAUAUUCUCCCUUACAGUCUUCAAGAAAGCAUGAGUAUGCUGACACAUUGAUUUUGGACUUCUAGCCUCAGACCAUUGAGAGAAAAUUAAUUUAUGUUGUUUUCAGCCACCCAGUUUGUGGCACUUUGUUAUAGCAGCCCUGGGAAACUAGUGCACUAAAUGUAUAUACAUAAGCUUUUUUUUGUAGCAUCUUUGAGCUGUCAUGUAUUUUUAAAUAUUUGAUUGCUAAAAAUUUGCUAUUACUGAAGGGAUUCUGAAGGGCUACUGGCUCCACAUAUUUUACACAUUAAACCUUUCCAAGACCUGAUUUUAUCAGUAUGUUUACUGCUAAAGCAUUUGCUUAA